GAUGAACGCUGGCGGCGUGCCUAAUACAUGCCAGUCGAACGAAACUUCUUUAUCACCGAGUGCUUGCACUCACCGAUAAAGAGUUGAGUGGCGAACGGGUGAGUAACACGUGGGCAACCUGCCCAAAAGAGGGGGAUAACACUUGGAAACAGGUGCUAAUACCGCAUAACCAUAGUUACCGCAUGGUAACUAUGUAAAAGGUGGCUAUACUACCGCUUUUGGAUGAGCCCGCGGCGCAUUAGCUAGUUGGUAGGGUAAAGGCUUACCAAGGCAAUGAUGCGUAGCCGAAUUGAGAGGUUGAUCGGCCACAUUGGGACUGAGACACGGCCCAAACUCCUACGGGAGGCAGCAGUAGGGAAUCUUCCACAAUGGGCGAAAGCCUGAUGGAGCAACGCCGCGUGGGUGAAGAAGGUCUUCGGAUCGUAAAACCCUGUUGUUAGAGAAGAAAGUGCGUGAGAGUAACUGUUCACGUUUCGACGGUAUCUAACCGGAAAGCCACGGCUAACUACGUG
This 512-nucleotide ribosomal RNA is filed under the name uncultured bacterium. RNAcentral describes it as "partial 16S ribosomal RNA". It matches the Rfam family "Bacterial small subunit ribosomal RNA", at positions 28 to 507 of the family's 1533-position model. The record is from RNAcentral.